RNAcentral lists this ribosomal RNA (420 nucleotides) under uncultured Bacteroidota bacterium. Its description in RNAcentral is "bacterial SSU rRNA". It matches the Rfam family "Bacterial small subunit ribosomal RNA", at positions 356 to 774 of the family's 1533-position model. Lineage: Bacteria; Pseudomonadati; Bacteroidota. The record is from RNAcentral.
GAGGAAUAUUGGACAAUGGGUGAGAGCCUGAUCCAGCCAUCCCGCGUGAAGGACGACGGCCCUAUGGGUUGUAAACUUCUUUUGUACAGGGAUAAACCUUUCCACGUGUGGAAAGCUGAAGGUACUGUACGAAUAAGCACCGGCUAACUCCGUGCCAGCAGCCGCGGUAAUACGGAGGGUGCAAGCGUUAUCCGGAUUUAUUGGGUUUAAAGGGUCCGUAGGCGGAUCUGUAAGUCAGUGGUUAAAUAUUUGAGCUAAACUCAAUUGUGCCAUUAAUACUGGUAAACUGGAGUACAGACGAGGUAGGCGGAAUAAGUUAAGUAGCGGUGAAAUGCAUAGAUAUAACUUAGAACUCCGAUAGCGAAGGCAGCUUACCAGACUGUAACUGACGCUGAUGCACGAAAGCGUGGGGAGCGAACA